Long non-coding RNA from Hibiscus syriacus, 1176 nucleotides. RefSeq lists it as uncharacterized. NCBI's taxonomy places the organism in Eukaryota, Viridiplantae, Streptophyta, Magnoliopsida, Malvales, Malvaceae. The record is from RefSeq and is a predicted model, not a curated record. The transcript is spliced from 3 exons.
AAAGAGGAAAAAAGAAAAAAAAACAGAUCACAAAAAGAGAAGCCAUGAAACCCCAGAUGAGUUCAUCAUCGUCUUCAAUGAAAUCGACCACCAUUACAAUGGAAGACGACUUCCGUACCGAAACCAGAGACAGCUGCUAUUACCCCGGAUGCAGAAAAGACGACAAUUGCAACUGCGAGAUGUGUUUGGCCAGCAUCAACGCCACUCUCGAUCUCAUGUCCUUUAGCGUCCAGAAAAGCUCCUUCACUAAACUCUCGGCUUCCAAGCCAAAAUUCAACCACUUGCCGAUCUCUUUCAACCCUUCGGUGAUAUCGACACCCGGAACGAGUUCCUGUUGCCUGGUGGAAUCUCCGGCUCUUAAAUCAACCGCUAGAUUAAACGCGAGAGAGAAGAAGAUGAAGGAGAAGGAAGAGAAGAAGAAGAAAGGUGGUUUUGCUAGUGUAUUCUGGAAAUUGUUAUUGGGUUGAAUCUUGUUCUUGUAAUGGAGAUUGGGUUUUCUUGGAUUCUUGGUUGGUUUUUUAAGCCAGUUUUGACAAGCGAAAUUGUGAGAACCAUCGGUGAAAGGGCUUCAAUGAUGCAAGAUUUGAAUGCAAAAAUGAGGUUCCUGCAAAAUGAGUUGAAGGGAUUUCAUAAUCUGAAUGUUUCAAAUUGCAGCAAUAAUGAUUCCAUAUGGGAAAUCGACCAGGAUACUUUGCUUCUGAAUUCACAUUGUUUAAUGUAUAAAUCAUCAAUGGAAGAAGUAAGAAUUUGGGGAUGGCCACUGCAACUGCAGGGUUGCUUGCCACUGGAUUCUCUUCCAAAUCUUUCACCAUAUUAUCUGGAAGAGUAACAGAGUGGUCCAAUGGAAAGCAUGGAUUUGUAACAAGAAAGGCAAAUGCUUCAUGGGAGCAAAGCAAAUGGGGUGCCUCUGUUGUACAGUUGGAUCCAAAAACAUGGAUUAUUGAGUAUCAAAGGUGCUCAAUCCUGGAACAUCCAAGACUCAUUUCAGCCACAUUGGAGCUGUUGAAGCAUAGGUUGACAAAAUGGUGAAGAUGAGUGAAGAACUUUUGCUCUUGUUUGUUUUUGAUAACCAGUACAUUGAAUUUGCUGGAAGUGAUGAGGAACAACUUAUGAUCCCAACUUAAAGAGGAUGAUGAUUUUUUGAUUCCAUUUCUCAUUUCUUGUGAGAUUUUUUUA